RNAcentral lists this ribosomal RNA (477 nucleotides) under uncultured bacterium. RNAcentral's name for it is "partial 16S ribosomal RNA". It matches the Rfam family "Bacterial small subunit ribosomal RNA", at positions 28 to 507 of the family's 1533-position model. The record is from RNAcentral.
GAUUAACGCUGGCGGCGUGCAUAACACAUGCAAGUCGAACGAUGAAACUUAAAUGAUUUCUUCGGAAUGAACUUAAGUGGCUUAGUGGCGGACGGGUGAGUAACGCGUGAGUAACCUGCCUUACACAAGGGGAUAGCCGUUGGAAACGACGAAUAAUACCCUAUGAAACUAUCACUUCGCAUGAAGCGAUAGUCAAAGUGUUAGCGGUGUAAGAUGGACUUGCGUCUGAUUAGCUAGUUGGUGAGAAAAAAGCCCACCAAGGCAACGAUCAGUAGCCGGCUUGAGAGAGUGUACGGCCACAUUGGGACUGAGACACGGCCCAGACUCCUACGGGAGGCAGCAGUGGGGAAUUUUGCACAAUGGGGGAAACCCUGAUGCAGCGACGCCGCGUGAUUUAGAAGGCCUUCGGGUUGUAAAAAUCUUUUGUAUAGGAAGAAAAUGACAGUACUAUACGAAUAAGGUCCGGCUAAUUACGUG